This is a non-coding RNA of Termitomyces sp. T159_Od127, 102 nucleotides long. NCBI's taxonomy places the organism in Eukaryota, Fungi, Basidiomycota, Agaricomycetes, Agaricales, Lyophyllaceae. The record is from the annotation of a GenBank genome assembly.
AGCAGUAUGGCGCAGUUUGGCAGCGCACGGGAUGCAUGUUUGCCGCAGUAUCUGCGAUGUUCGAAAGUCCUGAGGCUACUUGUUCGAAUCAGGUUGCUGCUG